Molecule: long non-coding RNA, 13695 nt
Filed under: Xyrichtys novacula (pearly razorfish)
Lineage: Eukaryota; Metazoa; Chordata; Actinopteri; Labriformes; Labridae
Source: RNAcentral
UUGUUUGACAAAAUUAUCAAGACAUAACAGGACGCUUGUCAUCAACUGUGAUCUCACAAUGAAAACAUCUGACUAUUACUCUACUGCUAUUGUGAUUAGGGCAAUGAAAUCCACAAGCACUUAAAUGCUUUUGUUUAGCUAUCAGAUUUUAAAUGUAACACUACUCUUUUAAAGUCAAAACAUGCCAAAAAAUCUCGACUCGAAAAAGUGAGGAAAAUCUUAACACUUGGAAAGUGAGACGUAGAUCCUGUUAAUUUUUUCUGCACGCUUUGCAAACAUGAUUUGCAUUUUGCAUGAUAAAUGUUCAGAGUUAUCCACUUGUAGACAUUUAAUGUAGGCGCUAAAUGUUCAUUUUAUAAUGCACAUGAUUUGAAUUUUAAGUUCUGCACUCAUAGUUGAGAAUAACUUCAUUUUGUGAUGUUACAUAUCUGAAAUUUAAAAAGAAAUGAAGUUAUCGAAUGAAAGCAAACACUGAUUAUUUGUCUUGUUGAAGUUUAAUGAGGGAUAAACAGCAAUCCCAUCCAGCUUUACACAUUACCCUUCAUUCAACAAGACUUACCAGAAACAAAUCCUCUGAUGAUUUACAGCAGCGGCUCCUGUUAUGCCAGGCGAACAAUCCUGCGGUACGUUUUUCACUAGCAGAGUUUGUGCUCUUGUCCCAGCGUCAGAAUACGAGAGGACACCUGCCUAAAAUGACUGAGGCUCAGCUGGGAACCGCUUUGAUCUGUGUGACAGUUUGACUGCCUCGAUGGGAGUGGCACUGAUAAUCCCUUUGCUUAACUCGUGCUUUUUGGCCCAGCCGGGGUCCUGUCCAGGGAUAAAGCAGUGGGCUAAGUCUUAAUCAAACAGCAGGGUCGGUGGCUGCAUGAAGGGAAGGGUCUUUGAGGGUUAGAGUGCGGAAGGGCACAUUUAGGACAGGGAUGAAUACACACAAAUGGAGGAUUAGAGUGUUUUGCCUACUUGCAAAUAGGUGAGCUUUAGCAGGCAGUUGGAGAAGAGUUGAAAGAAAAAGUCAUUGAGUCUAGAAAAGCUGGGUGUUGUUCUCUCUCAAACAGACCGGAGCUCUCAAAGCCUCUUUAAAAACAACUCCGCAUGUGCCUCAAAUGCUGCAAUGAAACCAGGAUGUUAGUGAAAAAGUCCAAAACAGAAGUGAAGUUCUUUUGGGGGUAUACAGACUAGUAACUUGACAGGUAGAGCAACAAAAACAGCAUGGCAGGGGUGAAGGAGGGGUGGGACUAUAAUAUCAUUUUGACUCAUGUGGUACAGUUUUAGCAACAGGUCCAAAAUAUCAAUGUCUAGAUUUAAAACUCGUAAGGCCGCCUUUCAGUGAUCCUCAUAACAUUAAUCUUGUUUAUGUUAAUGUUUCAUUAUAAUUGUGUCGCAGUUUAUCAGUUAUAAUCCUUGUAUCGACAUAGUGAUAUCAUUGGGCAUAUGCGGAAUAUCGAACCAGUCCAUACUGUACCAUUCCAGUUCAUCGUGUGCCUGUUAAGUGCCAUUUGGAUCAGUGCAUUAUAUUGUAUCGCAUCGUAUCAUUUUAUAUAGUAUCUUUUUAAAUCUUAUUGCAUUUUGUGUCUAUUGAUAGACUGUAUCAUACUGUAUUGGACAGGACCUCAAGGCAAGGCUAGCUUUUUAAUACAGAAACUUUUGGCAGAAGUACCAAACCAUAUCAUUUUGUGUGGUUGAUAGUUACUUAUUCCCUUAUUUUUUAAGUCAAGUUUUGUUCUGUUUGAAACUGUUUUAUUCCACAUUGUUUCACUUCAUUUCCAUUCGCGUCCAUCACAUCUAAUGAUACCUGAUCAUAACAUACAUAUGAAAUAUAUUCUAUUGCGUCAGAUUUUAUCAUAUAGUAUUGUAACAUGACAUAUCUUAUUGUAUGCCAUUGAACUGCACCAUGUUGCAUCAUACCAAAUUGCAUGAUAUUACAUUUUAUAUCGUAUCAUAUCAUAUCGUAACCUAUUCAUCCAUCUGCACUCUGGUUGUUUGACAUGAAAGCAAAGAAGAUGAAUAUGAAUAUGUGGAAGUAGUAAUAAGGUAGAAUCAAAUAACGUAGAUGAGAAAUUAUAUAAGAAUAAAAAAUUCAAAACUCAUCAGUAAUCACUAUACAGGAUUCUUUAUUCAUCUACAGCACGUUAGAUUUCACCAAAACACCAAAACUCUUAAACCACUGAAUUCAGCUGAUUUGAGAACAUCUGUUGUCUGAGUUUAAUUAUCUUCUAAGUCUUUCUUGUAAAACAAACAGUGCACCCAGCAUGCUUUGCCGUUUCAGCCUGGUCCUGGCCAUUAUUGCCUUUAGCUAUCUGACUCUAGCCACAGCCCAAAGAUACACACAUCAAAAGAAAGUGUCAGCAGUGUCAGGUAUGUGAUUCCUGUUUAACAGUGGGGGCAUGCAGAGCUCAGCAUGGGUGAACUGUAGCACAGAGACCUGAUGACCUCUUGGCUGUUAUCACCUGAUCUGCUUCUCAUUGUUCCUUAAAGAGAGGCCAAACACCGGCAGAGAUGAGCAUGUUUGUCUGCAGUUGUUAGAUCACAGGACUCGGGAUUACAGAUCUUAAUGGACUGUUGAUUGAAAGCAUGAGAGCACAAAACACUGAGCAAUAUGGCUGCAGAUGGAAAUCCUCUCAUCUGGAGAAUGAGUUUUACUUUUAGUGACAACUAAAAAUGUCUUUUUUAAUCCAAAAUCAAAGCCUCUUGGUGUUACAUACAAAAUUAAAGAUGAAUGACUCGUAGAUUAUAAUUAUCACAGCUCUUUGUAACAGCUUUAAAAAACUAGUUAGCAUACAUAUACAAAGAGCGGCCAUCAUAGUGUGUUUACAGGUGCAAAAAAAACUGGCUGUAAAUUCCCAGCCAGGACAGACAAACCAUCAUCCCUGUAGAAAUGAGAGAGACAACUCAUUUAGAAUUAUAAACCCUUUUCUCUGUUUGUCACUUCUAUUGAUUUUUCUUCUGCCCCCGUCUCUCAUAGUUUAUAUCUUGCUAUAAGAUAUACUCCUGAAGAGGAUUUAUUGCAGCUAUAGGCCUUGCCCGCCAGGUCUGCCAUUACCAACAGAUGAAAGGCGAGGGGGGGGCGGUUCAAAGGAGGGAGGCAGGGGGCAGUACAGCAGUGCAGUAUUGGAUAUUGUUUAAAUACCGUAAAAAGAGCCUGCUCAUUUACCCGGUCAGAGGUUUGAGAAGCAGACUGUUGUGAUAAUCCUGUGAGUAGCAGGUGGCGAUGCUUUAAUGUGGGUGUAAAAACAAAAUUGCACUUUUUCCAUUUUCAUUCCAGUCGUUAUAAUCUCUAAAUGAGACGAUCGAUCGCCUGUUGGCAAGAAAAUAGUUCCACUGUUUUUUAUUCAAAGUGGACCUGAGGAGAGGAUGAUGGUGUACUUGCAGGAAAGAGGAAAAAAAUAAGCCAUAUUGUCUUUUUUUUGUUUUUGUUACUCUCUAUCUCCUGUUUUUUUUUUUUUCCCUCUCCGACUGGCCUGUCAGGUGUGAGGAAGAGGAGGAGGAGGAGGAGGAGGAGGAAGCAGGCCUUUUUUCUUCUUCCCCCACCACUUCCGAAUUACCUGCUGGGUCCGAGCUCUUUUAUGCUCUUGUUGUGACAGGUAGAUUUAUAAGGCUUGAAAUUUGUACAAAUCAGUUGUCAUUCAGCGGCAGCUGUCAAUGUGUCAAGCUGUCAGGGCCUGCUGUGAGGGAGAUGCCUUAGGGGGCUGAGCGAGGGGGCAACCGCCCAGAAAAGAAAAUGAGUUCAAACAGACCUGAGAAGCUCCUCUAUUCCACCGGCCUCCCUGCCCCUGUGGAGACACCAUCGAUUUCUCUUGAUGUUGAGCAACAGCGCGCCCAAAAAUGACACGCCACACCGCGCUCAACCCAGUCGGGCUGCGACACGCCAACGCGUGCUGUGCCAAUCCUCUCAAUCUGCAGAUGCUUCUCAUUCUCCACUAAAUGGCUAGAAAUGUGUGAUCUCUCAGAGGAGGGAGAACACCAGAGUCGUGUUUAGAGCUUGUUGGCGAUGGCUGUCGUGUUUUUCAUGUGCCGCUUAAGUAGCUGAAAUGAAAAUCUCUCUAAGGAGAAUGACAAGCGUGUUUAAAGAUUGCUGUCGAUUGUUGUCUUGUUUGCUUGUUUUCUCUGGCCUUGUCUCAGCGUGGGCCUGCCUGUCUGUGAUUGGCGGGCCUGCUGGGGCAGUGAUGGGCAUGACAGCCUCUCUCAGUCAGAGGACCCCAGGUGACACACACCUUCUCUAUCCUCUUUCCUUGCACGCGGACUUCACAGAGGAAUGGGAGAGACAGGUGCUGCAACCAGUGUGAGGUGUGUGGAAACAAAAGACAACAGCUGACAGAGAAGCUGUGCCAUCCGGCGCCGAACACGCCGAGGUGUGGGAUGACACAAAUAUGCUCAUAUUUCUCUCAUGCACAUGUCAUUGCCGUGUUAUUGGUGCUGUUGUCACAUUCAGUCUGUGGCAGCAGAUGGGGGAGGGCUGGUUGGUAUUGAUAACACAUUAUUAUCACAUGUGGCUCGUCUGUUCUUUCAGCUUUAUAAUCAUUACAUUAUGAUUAAAAGUAGCUGUGUGAAAAAUCUAACAGAAAUUAGAUGCAAAGAAAUAUCCAUAGAAAUAAUUUGGAUUCUUUAUGUAAUAUUGAUUUAAAGUUCUUGAGAUGACUCGCUCCAUGUGUUUGUUUUUAAAACCAUAUUUUUUUAACUCUAAGUUCGAGCGAAGCCGUUGUUUGCACUGACUGUAUCUGUCACAACUGUUAUCAGCUUUUUCCAAGUUGUGAAACAGUACAUGAUGUUGAUAUCCAAGAUUUUUGCCACCUCUCCCCUCUAAUUAAAUGACAACAACAGUGAAACAAGCUCUCCGUGGAUCUGAUCCGUCCGCAUCCAGGUGUGUUGGCCAAGUUUGUUUUCACACCUUCAUGCCUGUGUUUGUUAUGUAUCGCAGCCAAACCCUCCUCCCCCUGAGACAAACCGAGUAUGGCCUGUAACAGAGUCAAAGGUUGGACCAACUGGAGGCUAAGAAUGAACACGGGGGAAGUGAUUUGAAUUCUGCUCCAGAGCUUGUUAAUUUGAAAGCUGAGGUCUCAAUUCCUUGACAUAGCAUGCUGCUGCUAUGCUAACCUGGCUGCGGUCCAAACCCUCCGCCUAAACAUGUGUGCACACAGGCACGGACGUGGACAUGCAUCAGGCCUGCAUGGCUACACUGUAAUUACCCUGAUGAGGUUUUUGGGGAGGGGAGUGUGGGGGGGGUCCUUCUUCCAGAUUGAUCAUCUCCACCUGGCAACACAGGGUCCCUGAAAGAAAGAGGUUUCAUGGGACACUCUUUGGAAGGUGACACUCGCUCAGCAGCUCUGCAACAAGGGGUGAAAUAUUAAUCAAAGUUUUCCAUGCAGCUAUUAACAGCUGCUGGCCUUGGCCUCCGUGCGUGUCUGUCCAUGUAUGCAUGCAUGUGUGUGUGUUUAUUAUGUGGCAAUGAGCAGCAAGUUAGUCCGCAGAGAGAUGAGUGUGACGCGUCUGAGUUUGUCUUGUAAAAAUGCAGCUGUCCAGGACAUGACAGCUACAGCGUUAGAGGGGCCAUUAUGGGGUGUAGAACAUUUCCUGGGAAAUGGCUUGAAAAAUGACAAUGCAGCCUGUGCAAUAUUAAUUGCUACACAGUCCCCAUAAAUAAGUCAAAAAGCUUUAAGAGAGGAACAAAGUGGAACAGUGCUGGUUAUCCAUUGAUCAUAAAACAAGGGAACAACGUUAAAUCUUAUGCACCAUUAUUUUUAUGAUGUUCUUUUCUUAGUAAUUAGAUUUUAGAUGCAGUUUUAUGUUCGGGCUGUGGCAUUAUAAUUCAUCCUCCCUCCCGUGGGUUAUUGUUUUUUAUUAUGAAAAGCGGUGACUGUUGGAGGAUUUUAGUAACACAUUGACACAAGUCGCUGAAUGACUCCUUUUGUCCUCUUCAACCUUUUGUGACUCUUACUUGUUAAAUGUGGGAUAUUUGUGCUUCAAAGGGGCCCGCCUUUGGUUUGCAAAUGAAAUCUGGGAUGAGAUCAGGACUUCCAUUUAGUUGCAAAUCAACAGCUCAUUGUUGGGAAGCUGUCGGCGCAUGUUUGUUGCGAAAUGUUUUCACGUAAUGAAUAGCUAACACGUGUCGUCAGUCAACAAGGAAAGGCUAGUUAAAGGACCCUAUGAUGGUUCUUUAUUUGUGAUCACAAACCUGAGAUCAUAAAACACUACAAUGAAGGUAAUAAAGGGAGUCAUGCAACUGGAGUUUAUAUGUCUGUCUUUGCAGUUAAAACGUGAAAGUUGGUUCAGUAACCUUAAGACUUCAUUUUAUUCCAUUACUUUUUAUUAGUCUUAUUAGAUGCUUAGAACACAAACAAAACUUUCCUGUUGCUUUGGGAUCCAAGAGAUGAAUGUAAACACACGUUUAAUAAAGCGGUCUUAGAUAGGUUAAUGUGCCUCUUUCUGAAUUAAAGUUAAAAUGAAUAAGAAGAACUGCAGCAGCUGAACAGGUUAUUGUUUUCACGUCUUGUUCCUCGGUGAGCUUUUGUCUGAUUCAGUAAGGGGCAUAUGUUGUUUAAUAGGAAAUUAAUUCUCACCCCCGCCGCCGCCUCUCCCCCUCGGUAAAUCAGGCAUGUAAACCAAAAACCUGAACACGGUGACUAAUUAGAAUCAAAAGGGCCGGAAUCCAUAAUGGCCCUCCUUCACUCAAAACACUACUCUAUAAUUGGCCAUAAAUAAACCCUUGCUGUUUUUGUGUGAGCUGUAAACAGCUGAAUGCUUCAAUUAAGCAGAAAUACACCCGCGCCAUGUUAAAUGCAGGGCGCUGGGGAGCCGCUGACAUAUGGAUAUGAUCUGUGCUCUCCCCCCCUCUGCUCCAAUUCAAGCCUUUUUUUUUUUAGCAUGCGUGAGAAGCACAGAUAAUUUCGUUUUUGCCGGUGUAAUAUUAUAGUGAGUCAUAAAUAGAUGGUUACCCUUUCGGUACUAAAAGUUUUCAUUAAACACGCCUGGAUUUUGUUAUUGACACCGCGGGUUGCCUAUGCAGGGAAACACAGUAAAAUUUAUCAGUGCGCUUUUCCUCACCUAAUAAAUCAUCCAAACAGGGCCGACCAUAUGGCAGAUAAGACCUUGGAAAUGUGGCUUCGGCAUGCGAAGAGUCAAGUUGCUUGAAAUCAGGAACGAUCACGGACUCCUCUCUCCCCCCUCUCUCUCCCUCUCCCUCUCUUUCUCUCUUCCUCUCUCACAGAAUAUCUCCCAGUUAUUUUACACGCCAUUUUCUUGUUCACCUUAUCACCUCUUUGUCACUUGUUUUUUUCACUUUCCCCCAAGAAGAAAGAGAGAGGCAAUUCCUGUGUGUAAAGGAGUGGGAGUAGAUAACUCUCUCUCCUCUUCCUCCUUCUCUCUGUCUCUCCCCCUCUUACUCUCACUUCCACCCCUCCUCCUCCUCCUCCUCCUCCUCUUUUUUCUCCUUCUCCUCUCUCCCCCCCUUCUGCCGAGAGGGUCCUGGGAGGUGCACUGACUGAUGGGAGAGGAUGAUAUAUGUAGCGUCUGUGUCCCGGCUCUCCUCUGGCCCUUUGUCAUUAAUCAUAGCCAUUAGCUUUUCUCACUGCAGCCUUGUCUGUGCACUGCAAUGAAAAAGCAGCCUUUUCUCCCGUAUCCCACACCAAGAGAGCGCGCUAAUACCUCUACCUCACUGUCACGCAGCUGCAUUUUCAGCUCGCGACAAACAGACAACUAUUGUAAUGUGGAGAAUGGAUAUCGUAUCCAAAAUGUGAUUCUUCACCUAGCGGGACAGGGGGGGAAUAUGGGAGGACAUAUUGAGUGGCUGUUAGGUAGAAUUGAUCUUCAAUAUUGAUUCUUGCAGAUAUACUUUCUGCUUGUUGUGCUUUUUGUUCUUUCUUCCUCUGCUUUUAUCGCAGGUUUUUCUCAUAAACCGACUCUUAAAAUCUGCAAACAACGCUCUUAAAAUGUGGCUACAUCUGUUUUGGACCGGUUUGAACUGGACCACAAUGGACUUGGCUCCGUGCAAGGCUGUGGAGAGAGUGGGUUUGGACGGCGAGCGUGUGAGCUAAUGAGAAUAAACAGCUGGCCACUGUGGUGACCAUCUAGUGUAAUAGAGAUGUAUGGCCACCGGCUCCUGCACGCCUACUCCUCCAAUCCCCAAACUGUGCCUGACAGAUAUACUAAAGCCUCAUCAGUCUAGUCCCAGUCACACCAAAAAAACACAAGCACACACACUUUCCACACACACACACACACACACACUUUUCCACACGCUUCAUGCGGGGACAUUUACAUGCACACAGGCCUGAGCUAACAACUAAAACAGCACUGGUGCAGUUGCAGUCCACAUAUCCAGUUGUCCAAACGCACACACACACACACACAGAGGCACACAGCCAGCACUUUCCACAUUAGAGACUCAACCCUCUUUUUCUCAUUUCCCUAACUGUAUCAUCCAUACUGUACCUAAUGAAAUGAUUGCAAGUAGUUAUUGCUGACUUAUUAUCUAGACACACAGCUUUAUCAAAAUGCUGCAUUGAUUUAGUGGACUGUGUCGCCGGGAAAACUCCAGGGAUAUUUCAUUUGCCUGGCUACGCCAUAAUAAUGGGACCCAUCCCUGUAUGCAUUAUGCAUAGAUAGACCAUAGAUAAUUCAAACAGGAGGAACACAUGCAUUACCUCCACGCUGUAACCUCCCAGUCUCAUACUGUCUAUUAUAUUAGGUUGUGCUGUUGUUUGUUUUGUGCUGCACCGGGAUCCCAUUACGCUGAAAUGAUAAGAACCUACAGUGCAGCCGGCUACACGCGCAAAUUUGUGUCAUAGUUUUCAGCUUUGAUAAAUCCCAAACACCUUAUUCAGCAGGUAUUUGUGCUUCCUCUCAUUUGACGCUGUUUUGUCCUCACAAAGACAGAGCUAGCUCCAGGUGGCUCCGAGCCUCCCCCCAGGGUUUGCGGAGCGAGAUAAGCGUUUGUCUUUCUCAUUCUAAAGUGGCUCCUGUUAAGCUCCAUACCUGGAAGAUGACUGAUUUUGACAAUGCAAUUUACAUCUCUGUAUAAAACAAUCUCACACUGCGCCUGCCGAUUUACACCGGAUUAAACUGUUUGUCUCCGUCACGGGGUAACCACACAAUCUAUCAGGGCCCCUGUGCCUUUUCCGAUACCGCAUUCCCUCUCCCGUCCCUUGAGAGCAGGAAAUUGAUCCAGAGUGCAAAGCGGGGCCUCCCCCCUUUUUAAAAUUGCUACAACAGCUUUGCAGGACCUACAAUUAUUGAAACAUGCAGAUGUCAGUAAUUUCAAUAAAACUGAUAUGCUAGUAAUGAAAACAUCUGACUGAGGGGGCGACGGCUACACGAUUUAUGGCCGCAUUAGAGGGAAAAGGCUGAGAUGACAGUUUUGCGGCGUUGCUCGGCACUCCUGUGUUUCGCACGCAUUAAAGGCGCAGAUCAAUUAGCGUCCGGCGCUGUUAGCUUUGCCACAGACAGUCCUUUUUACGGUGACAUGAAAAAUGCAUGGGUUCCUAAGAGAGAUUUUGGAGCCAUUAGUUGUCUUCAUCCUCGCAUGUUUUCAUGUAAGUGUGCGUUUGCAGUGAUGGAUGACUUUAGAGCAGCACAAGCUCGCGUCUAUCUUUACGAUCACAGAAGAAGAAGAACUGUGAUUUUCUUUUGUGUAUUUAACUCCCGGCGCUGAUUUUAAGUAAUGACACGCUGUUUUUCAGGAUUAAACAAACUAUAAAGCCCACUUUAACACUAAUAUGUGCUUAAUUUCCUUCAUUAUGGUGCCAAUUCAGAGCAUGCAGUUGUAGUCCACCCACACAGAUCAAAUACCUUCAUGUAUCUGUUAUUGCAGUGCUAUGAUCUCAUUGUGUCUGAGUGCUGCCUCUCCAUUCCCCUCAGGUGAGUCAUUGCAGGGCCUGUCACCCCCUCCACUCCAUACGCCGAAUGUCUCAUUCUAAUUAAAUGAACAUUAAGACCCCCGCUUCCGUCUCCUGUCCCUUUCUCUUUCUCGCCCUCUCUGAUGCUAUCAGAGCCAGGAGAGCUCAAAUGUUAAAGUAAUGAAUGUGUUAGCACCAUGACAGGAGCAAGAAGAAGAAGAAGAGGAGAAGGAGGUGGAGAGGAGUCUGAUGUGUGACUGUGCAGUGCAGCCAGGUUUUCUCCUCGAGCCGCCGUGGCAGCAACAGGGCUUGGUCACAUUCGAUUUGCAUAACCUGCUAAAAAGCUAUCAGAGGCCCUGCAAUUGAUUGAAUUUCACCUCAGAGAAGUGCUAAUUAAUAACGCCGUGGAUCUGACAGGCCUUUAUUAUGUGCGUGGGACAGGAGAUGAUGUCUGUAUUAGCAGGCUCUCUGGAAGCUGUGGAGGAGAAUAUAGAAUGAUGAAUUAAUGGAACUACGUCCUGGCUCUAUCAUCAUAUCAUUAGGAGACCAUUGAUGGUUUCACACCACAGGUAGAAAUCUAUAAAAGUGUAAUGGCACUGUAAUAUUUAGGCUGCGGCUUAUAUUAUCUGCAGUAUAUCAUGGCUGCUGUAUUAGGGUCAUAUUUUCCAUGAGCGCUGAAGUGGAAGUGACCCGGGAUUUCAGGAACUGUGGCAGAGAUGUCAUACCUUAAACACAAACAUGGCGAGGUACUUACAGUAUUUUAAAUUUCUUAAAUUGUUUUAACUGCCAGACUUUUCUUCAAGCUAAUUUUACAUCCGAAUGAUCUCAUUUUUUUCCCCUUAUGGCCAUACAUGAGAAAGACUUCUCAUAAAACCAGCCUAAAAUGGAGCCAACUCACCAACCACUAGGUGGCUUUUGGGGAGGAAAGCUGACCUGUAAUCAUCAAAACAAAUUACAUCAGCAUAAGAGGAAAUGGUCGUAGAAAUGUGCCAUGAGAGUUUCAGACAGUUAUUAUUGGGUUUAGCUUGUUGUUUUGACUUGUCGUUAAAAUAAGAUCGCUCUUUUUUCAACUCAAGGUAGCGAAUUAGAUAAUGACCAAGUUAAAGUGCCAAAAUAUAACACUGUAUGUACUCCUUGAGCUAUUUUUGGAUGCUGUCCCCUAGGGGUGUCUCGAUAAGAUAUUGAUGUCAGAUAUCGGUCCUAUAUUAGCAAAAAAAAAAACCAAAUAUUGGAUUAUAUCGGCCUGUAUCUAAAAUCUCCAAUAUCAGCACUCCGAUACAAGCAUUCCAGACUCCACUUCGGCACCUCUAACUAGCAGCGCCCUGAUCCAGCAAGCUGAGCCCACAAAAUCACAACAACAGUGUGUACUAAGGUACUAACAAAGUAGCAAGGAGUAAGAGAGAUGUUGUAUAUUUUGUUUAAGUCUGAAAAAAAAAUUGCAGCUCAAUGUAAAACUUGUCAUGCACAAUUUUGUGCCAAUAUUGGAUGAAUAUUGGUAUCGGUCAAUAUUGAAGUCUACAGUAGCGGAAGUCAGAAAGUUAUAUCCGGACACUCCUACUGUCCAUGACAUAGUUUUGUUGUGAUGUUAAAAUCUAGUGAUACAGUACAAAGAGUCUAAAGGACACUUUUAAUCUUUUUACUUUCUUUAUUAUGUGUCUUAGUUACUUCAGAUUAGGACGUAAACUAGCGACUAGCAAACAUACAUCCACAAAAAGGUCAGGUUUGACGUUGUAAGAAGAAUUGACCUUAAAGUUAUUUCGGUGCCUAUAAAACAAGAAAUUACAGUGAAUGUUACACAGCCAGUAAGCCGACUGUUUAGUGAUGUUAGCCGUAUUUUUGAUGUGCUGUCUUUAUUUCUCAAACAUAAACCAAUUUGUCUCAUUAUUGUUUACUUGAAAGAGACUCAACACAUUUUAUUAUUUUCGCAUUUAGUUGGAAAAAAGAUCAAAUAACAUCACCUUUGCUAGCUGGCAUCAGAAGUGUUAGUCUAACUAGCCAUUAUAUUUUAUCAUGUCGGUAAUAUAUUGAGUCUGCUCACCUGCUGCCAUAGAAGGCUGUAGUUCAGUUGUUGAUUGCUGCAAUAAUGCUCUACUACCUGGAUGCAAACAUGCUUCAAUCACGAUGGCAACGCAAUCUACUCAGCGGGGAUAAAACAGUAUGUAGCCAUUGUCUGGGUCAACUGAGGCAAUAUGUAACUACUAACCAGACAUGACAGGUGGAUGUUAACCUGCAAGGUGGACCCAAGGCUGCGGGUGCAAGCUCCAAUAAUAGCCAAAUCCAGCAAAACCCAUUGUUUACCCACAUACUCUGACCUCAUGUUUGGGUGUGUUUCAUCCAUUUUACUGACUUUUGACAUAGAGUAGUUUUAUUUGGAUGACUGUGAUCGUUGAGGGUUUUUAAGCAUGUUUUCCUACAGUGUCUCAUACCUCUUUUACUGUCACUCAAACCCAAGGAUCAAAAGGCUCUUGUAUCAUGUUAUUGCCUUACUUACAGCGUUUCUAAUCCACAAAUAAGCACCUUUCUAUAUGUGAUGGUGAUGACAAACAGAAGACUGUCUAAGCCCAGCUUGGCAGGGGAGUUUCCCAUAGUUAAAAAGAUUUAUUUUUCCGAAUCUUGUUCUGGUUUUUGCUCUCUCUCACUUAGUAAGCUCCUCAUGGAAAAGCUCUGAUUGGUAUCUGCCAAGGGCUUUGCUCAUUUUGGCCAGAUUGCUCCCCCCGUAGCCCGGCCGAUAAUGCUCCAAAUUCACUCUCACCGACGCCAUCGCAAACUGCCAGAGCGGUACGCCGUGUUGUUGCCAACAGCAAUUACCCUGGUAGAAACAACUUAACUAUGUGUAAAUGACCAGUGCUGCUUGGUGGAUAUCAUAUUUCCUGAAUAACUUAUUAGAUUAAGAGGCUGCAUUGUGACGAGAUUGAAACCGACAGAUAAAGAAAUCAAACCCAGAUUUUGCCGCACAUCUGACCAGAAGUUGUUUCAUAACCUCAGUCGACUAAUAAGAUGAAUUCCUUUUGUUUAUACCCGUGAACUCUAUUGCAAUAAAAACAAGCCUUUAUUGUCGAACUAGAGAGUGUUUUCCUGUUAUGAAUUGCAGUUCAGUGGUGAAACAGAUACAAUAAUGUAAACAUCUCCCUUUUUAUGUCUUUUAUUAAGGCGCUAUAUAAGCACACAUAUAUUAGAUACAGCAGCACUGUGUGAAAGAAAGAUUAGAGUAUUCUGCAGAUAAAGAACCACAUUAUGUUGCUUUACUACUUAUUCAAGGUCAUACUGUAUACUAGUAGCACCGUGAUGCUUUCAUGGUCUUCAAUGCUUAUUGCUCUAAAUUAGCUCUCCUAAAUCAUAGUGGCCUUUCAGAUAGGACGCCUGAGAGUCCUGCAUGUGUUAAUGUUGUAUACGCCCCGCUCUUCUACUUGAAGCAGAAACGCGCUUCAUCACUCCAUGAAACAGGGAAAUGCCCUGUGGGUAAUGAGACUGACUGCAAUUGAGAAUAAGUUAUGGAGCUAAUAUUCUAUAUCUGCACAUAACCAGGGCUCUACAGGACGUCAUAAACACACACUUGGGUGUGUUUUCCCAAACAUCAUUCUGCCGUGCAUAUUAUUUCCCUGUCUGUCUUCACGGUGGUUUUUGUAAUUGUUGGGUGACUUGAUGGAUUGCAUUUGAUAUGUCAGCAUAGUUUCCCCUGAGGUUUCCGUUUCUUCAGGGCAGCGUAAGCCAUUCUCUAUGGUUUGUCUGUGUGUGACGUGCAUUAAUGCCCUCCUCUGAUCUGGAUCCAGGUUGUUAAGCCGUCGUGUGAAAAGUCCAAACAGCGUUGCAGGGAGUGUGUUGUCUCCUUAAAGAGAGAGCUCUGGUAUCAGGUAGGAUUUAAAUCCCA